Molecule: ribosomal RNA, 248 nt
Filed under: uncultured Actinomycetales bacterium
Lineage: Bacteria; Bacillati; Actinomycetota; Actinomycetes; Actinomycetales
Description: partial 16S ribosomal RNA
Rfam family: Bacterial small subunit ribosomal RNA
Source: RNAcentral
GGGGUGCUCGAGUGGCGAACGGGUGAGUAACACGUGAGUAACCUGCCCUUGACUUUGGGAUAACUUCAGGGAACUGGGGCUAAUACCGGAUAGGAGCUCCUGCUGCAUGGUGGGGGUUGGAAAGUUUCGGCGGUUGGGGAUGGACUCGCGGCUUAUCAGCUUGUUGGUUGGGUAGUGGCUUACCAAGGCUUUGACGGGUAGCCGCCUGAGAGGGUGACCGGCCACAUUGGGACUGAGAUACGGCCCAG